GAUGAACGCUAGCUACAGGCUUAACACAUGCAAGUCGAGGGGCAGCAUGGUCUUAGCUUGCUAAGGCCGAUGGCGACCGGCGCACGGGUGAGUAACACGUAUCCAACCUGCCGUCUACUCUUGGACAGCCUUCUGAAAGGAAGAUUAAUACAAGAUGGCAUCAUGAGUCCGCAUGUUCACAUGAUUAAAGGUAUUCCGGUAGACGAUGGGGAUGCGUUCCAUUAGAUAGUAGGCGGGGUAACGGCCCACCUAGUCUUCGAUGGAUAGGGGUUCUGAGAGGAAGGUCCCCCACAUUGGAACUGAGACACGGUCCAAACUCCUACGGGAGGCAGCAGUGAGGAAUAUUGGUCAAUGGGCGCAGGCCUGAACCAGCCAAGUAGCGUGAAGGAUGACUGCCCUAUGGGUUGUAAACUUCUUUUAUAAAGGAAUAAAGUCGGGUAUGUAUACCCGUUUGCAUGUACUUUAUGAAUAAGGAUCGGCUAACUCGGUG
This 490-nucleotide ribosomal RNA is filed under the name uncultured bacterium. RNAcentral's name for it is "partial 16S ribosomal RNA". It matches the Rfam family "Bacterial small subunit ribosomal RNA", at positions 28 to 507 of the family's 1533-position model. The record is from RNAcentral.